GACUUUUUAACUAUAUGAAGUAUAUAUUUUGAAAAUAUAAAAAAGAGUUUCUCUAUUAGUCU
RNAcentral lists this transfer RNA (62 nucleotides) under Haemaphysalis flava. RNAcentral describes it as "tRNA-Ser". The record is from RNAcentral. Lineage: Eukaryota; Metazoa; Arthropoda; Arachnida; Ixodida; Ixodidae.